AUUAAAAUUAGUUAAAAAAAAAAACCAUUAUGCCUUGUUGUCCAGGCCCCGCAUCAAAAUCAAUAAGCAAACAUGAUUAUACUUACAUCUAGAAGUCAAAAUCUUCCCACUUGUUAACAAGAGAGUUAGUAUGUCUAGGAUAUGAGUAUACAUCCUAGAUGUCAAACUUGGGUAUAUCUAUAUAUAACCAACAAGGAUAUAUGAGGGUAAAGUGCUGAAGUUAAACUGUUGCAACAUUAAAUUUCUGUGUGGUUACAAGCUCUGAAAAAUUACUGCUUCUGCUUAAUUGUUUAUGUACUGGAACAUCUAUCCAGGUAAGUAAGUGGUGUUUGGCUUCUGGAGUUGACCACUUUUUAAGGUAGGGUCGCUAGAAUGCCUAUGAAGGAUUUGUUGAAUUAGCCUUAAGUAUUUUAGUUUAUAAAAUUGAAUUUUAUAAAUUCAGUGUGACUUAAUCUACGCUGAAAAUAGGCUGACUUUGUUCUGGUAAAUUUGUUUUUCAUUAUUACUGUUGUUGUAAUUUUUUUUAGGACUUCUCUGCAGGUGGCUCAAGAAAUUGAAACAGAA
RNAcentral lists this unclassified non-coding RNA (564 nucleotides) under Hevea brasiliensis (rubber tree). Lineage: Eukaryota; Viridiplantae; Streptophyta; Magnoliopsida; Malpighiales; Euphorbiaceae. The record is from RNAcentral.